CCCAGAAUUCAUGUAGCGCACGUGGCUUCGCUUCAAGUGCGAUGACCUCGUUCAAUUCUUCAUUGACGUCGCUAUUUCAUUCCAAUCCGAGGAUGCUCUUCGUGUAUGAGAUUAAUAUAUGUUUUUGUUCUCUUCAAAUUUUCUAUUGUUUCCUUACUAUUAUUUCCGUAUGCCUUCCAUGUGUUCCAUCUUCGGGUUCUCACGGCUAAAUUGUAAUCAUGAUGAAGCUGUUCUGGAGACAAUAACGGAGUUUAUCAAAGUGGGUGGUAGGGGAAAGUUUCAUUCUGCCUUAUAUCACAAGCUUCUUCAUUCCAUUGUCCACUUUACGUUGACCAUUGACGAUUCUUUAUUGGAUUUGCUUGCAUUAAAGUAUUUCAAUUACAUUUAUGUCCGGUAUGAAUCAUUUAUUCUUAAGCGUGUGUUAACUAAGUUUGUUUACACUGUACUGUCAAUAUGUUUCCUAUAGAUUCUAUUUAUAAUGUGAAUGAAUCACUUCACACUUCUUUUUGGAUUUGCGUUGCUAAGAUAUUACCAAAACAGAUUGCUAGACUGGGAUGAGCUACAUACUGUUCCAAGAAAUGUUACCUUUUAUUGUUUCCCUUCCAAUAGAAAUAUUUGUUCCACGGUGGGACAAAUAUUCUUUGAACUACUGUAGUCUCUAAGAAACAAUACGUUGGUUCAACUUAUUUGUUCAGUAUUUUACUUACAUUAUCCUGGACCUGGACAAGCUGGUCCGAAUUUUGGAGGCAAAAGGUAUCUCUCCUAGUCCUACUUCUUGAUCUUGGUGGUGAUCUUUUUACCUAAGAAAAUACACAAAGACCUCCUCUCCUUUAUUGGAAGUACAUAUAGUUAUAUAUCUUUUCGACCUAAAAAUUUAUUUUCCCCAGAGAAGGCGAGAGAAAUUCAGACAUCUAUGGUGAUAGCCAGUCGAGAACAAGAGUGCUGCUACUUCUAGAUUGAAGCAAUGAAGUUCAUUGUGAAUUUACUUCACGGAUAGGGAUGGCAACAGGCAGGGGCAGACCCGAAUACUUUAGGUUAGGGGGUCAUAAUCAAACUUUCAAAUGGUAGGUAAAUUGUAAAUGGUAAUGGCAGUAUGUAAUUGACAGAUUGGAAGAGAAAGACAAAGGCACAAAGUUGAGAUUGGAGCUGUUAGCUGCAUAAUAUAUUUAUAGUGUAAGUUUUAAACUUUGACAUUCUAAAACAAAAAAAAAAGUCAGAAAAAAAGCAGAAACUGGGGGGUCAACUAUAGGACCCCCCAGGUCGACCCCUGUCAACAGGGUGGUUUGGCGUGCCCCCUGCACUACCCUGCUGGGGAUUUUACUAUCUCAUUUGUAUUUUUUUCCCUAUAAAUUAAAUUAGGUAUUUGAAUAUUAAAGCUAUGUUUGA
Long non-coding RNA from Olea europaea var. sylvestris, 1386 nucleotides. RefSeq lists it as uncharacterized. The transcript is spliced from 3 exons. Lineage: Eukaryota; Viridiplantae; Streptophyta; Magnoliopsida; Lamiales; Oleaceae. The record is from RefSeq and is a predicted model, not a curated record.